This is a long non-coding RNA of Perca flavescens (yellow perch), 1155 nucleotides long. RefSeq lists it as uncharacterized. The transcript is spliced from 4 exons. Lineage: Eukaryota; Metazoa; Chordata; Actinopteri; Perciformes; Percidae. The record is from RefSeq and is a predicted model, not a curated record.
CAGAGCGGUUGGCGCCACUUUCAAAUCCUCCACUGACACAGAAUGAGAGUCCGGCUUCAAAUACAUUUACACAUCACUUAUUUUCUCUUCUUCAUAAUUACUGUAAGGCGAGGAAUAUCUUAACACCAUUUCGCUUUUGGACAGUUUGGACAGUUUUUUAUUCGGAAGCACCACUUAUGACACAUGAUAGGCUGAGCUGCAGAUUCAGGAUGGAAAACCCGUCAAGUGAAGAAACAGGCUGUGUGUAGGGAUGCUGUGCCUCUAAACUGGACCAAUAAACAGUCCUUUGUAAUACUCCACACUAACAGUGUGUCAGUGAGCCUCUGCAGUGUGUGCAGUGCGAGCCAGUCAGUGUGAUGGACUCCUGCGCUCCGUGUCCAGGGUGCGCUCUAGCAGCACAUCAUGUUUUGCAGAUAUGAGCUGAAUCACUCCAAGUCAUGAUGUGCUGCCACCGCGAGUCCCGGGAUUCCCACCAACACGGCGGACAGCGAACAGCUCCCACGUCUGACUGCACUGACUCCUGUUACCAUUCGAAAAGAUCAGAGCAGGUGGAUAUGUCAAAGACGGCCACGCCGUCUCCGUGAGCAGCGUCUCUGUAAACGUUCCCUUCAGUCUUCAUCACCCAAAGUUACACUUCUGCUUCAUCUCUUCACACGUUUCCACACAAACAGCCCGUUACAUAAACACUGGCUGAUGAAUAAUCCAGAUGAAAUGCUAAAAAACUGCAGCCCAAACAAAAGUGAUGGUGCACUUUGUAUAUUUUUGGUCAUAAGAUUUUUUCGGAUGUUUGUCAGUUACAAAUAUAUAAAUCAUUUAUGGUCACAACAACAUGAUAUUGUAAAAAAAAAAAAAAAAAGGGAGAGUUUAAAUGAAUUUGUCAUAACUUGUAUCAGUGUGUUAGGCUGUAGCAGCACAUCAUUACUGGUAGUUCUCUGUGUUGCCAGUAUGAUGUGUGCUGCUCCCAUCAGACACACACUCCUCUUCAUCACCUUUUUUUGUACCUUUUUAUACUUUUCUUGUAACCAAUGAGAACAUAUCUGUACAGUGUAUUUUUAUUUUUUUAUUUUAAUCAAAUAUUGGUCUGUAAAGACUGACGGAGAUAUGUUUGGCUAUUAACUGUUAUGCUGACUUUUAAUAAAAGCCCAAUUUUUGAGA